Molecule: ribosomal RNA, 115 nt
Filed under: Bdellovibrionales bacterium
Lineage: Bacteria; Pseudomonadati; Bdellovibrionota; Bdellovibrionia; Bdellovibrionales
Source: RNAcentral
GUUGGUGUCAAUAGCGGUGAGGGUACACCUGUUCCCGUCCCGAACACAGAAGUUAAGCUCACCAGCGGCGAUGGUACUGUAGGACAACCUAUGGAAGAGUAGCGCGAUGCCAACU